RNAcentral lists this long non-coding RNA (733 nucleotides) under Trifolium pratense (red clover). RNAcentral describes it as "long non-coding RNA (TPRA_LNC004914)". Lineage: Eukaryota; Viridiplantae; Streptophyta; Magnoliopsida; Fabales; Fabaceae. The record is from RNAcentral.
ACCGUUCCAAAAUCCCUUCGACCCCGUUUCCCUUUUUCUCGUUUGUUUUACUCGACAGUCUUUCUCCCGGUUCUAUUGCGUCUGGUAGGAAGCUUUUUAUUUUUGUCAGUCCCAGGCUUUCUAUCUGCCAUCGCAGAUUGCUUUUGAAGUUUGUUUGUCUCGUUUCCAAUUUGUUUUGGCUAUAUACCCGUUUCCUUCUUCCUCCUCUUUCGUUCUAUCUCGCGCUCUCGCUCUUCAUUAUUGUUUCUGUUCUGAUUUGUUUUUUUUUGUUUUCUCUCCAUGGCCGAUAUGCCGUUCCGGGAAGAACUGCUUGGCGAUUCAAGGUUAGGGUCGCUGGGAUAUGGGAAGUAACUGGUUUGAUUUCCUUUUCUUCAAUUCUGCUUUUUCAUUUAUAGUUGUUCUGACUUUGUNNNNNNNNNNNNNNNNNNGUUGAUUGGCUUGGACUGCAUCAUCAAGGUUUGUAUUGUUAUUGCAAACUUUAUCUUUGGUUUAUUCUUUUUUGUUUUUCAAUAGAUUUUGUGUGUUUUUAUUUUUUGGUCCUUUAAUUGAACUGUUCAAUUUUGAUUUUUUUUUUCUUUUGCAGGGUUUGAUUUUGUUUGUUUCAUUUCAAGGUUUGAACUUGUUUCUUGUUUUAUUUGUUAUCCUAUAUUGUAUAUUUGGUGUAUUGUUUCUUUUUCAUCUAACAAUGGAGCUAUUUUUGGAACUGUAUAAGUAUAAAGGUAUGUAUAUGCAU